Molecule: transfer RNA, 76 nt
Filed under: Planctomycetota bacterium
Lineage: Bacteria; Pseudomonadati; Planctomycetota
Description: tRNA-Gly
Rfam family: tRNA
About the family: Transfer RNA (tRNA) molecules are approximately 80 nucleotides in length.
Source: RNAcentral
GCGGGCGUAACUCAGCUGGUAGAGUGUCAGCUUCCCAAGCUGAAUGUCGUGGGUUCGAGUCCCAUCGCCCGCUCCA